GAUGAAGAACGUAGCGAAAUGCGAUAAGUAAUGCGAAUUGCAGAAUUCAGUGAAUCAUCGAAUCUUUGAACGCACAUUGCGCCCGCCAGUAUUCUGGCGGGCAUGCCUGUUCGAGCGUCAUUUCAACCAUCAAGCCCCCGGCUUGUGUUGGGGACCUGCGGCUGCCGCAGGCCCCGAAAACCAGUGGCGGGCUCGCUAGUCACUCCGAGCGUAGUAAUACAUCUCGCUCAGGGCGUGCUGCGGGUUCCGGCCGUUAAAAAGCCUUAUUUACCCAAGGUUGACCUCGGAUCAGGUAGGAAGACCCGCUGAACUUAAGCAUAUCAAUAAGCGGAGGA
RNAcentral lists this unclassified non-coding RNA (335 nucleotides) under soil metagenome. RNAcentral's name for it is "partial contains 5.8S ribosomal RNA, internal transcribed spacer 2, and large subunit ribosomal RNA". The stretch from base 1 to 120 matches the Rfam family "5.8S ribosomal RNA", at positions 35 to 154 of the family's 154-position model. The record is from RNAcentral.